RNAcentral lists this ribosomal RNA (466 nucleotides) under uncultured bacterium. Its description in RNAcentral is "bacterial SSU rRNA". It matches the Rfam family "Bacterial small subunit ribosomal RNA", at positions 330 to 793 of the family's 1533-position model. The record is from RNAcentral.
GCCAGACUCCUACGGGAGGCAGCAGUGAGGAAUAUUGGUCAAUGGGCGCGAGCCUGAACCAGCCAAGUCGCGUGAGGGAUGACGGUCCUACGGAUUGUAAACCUCUUUUGCCGGGGAGCAAGCGUGCGUUCGUGAACGCACGUCGAGAGUACCCGGAGAAAAAGCAUCGGCUAACUCCGUGCCAGCAGCCGCGGUAAUACGGAGGAUGCGAGCGUUAUCCGGAUUUAUUGGGUUUAAAGGGUGCGUAGGCGGACUUUUAAGUCAGCGGUAAAAGCCGGGGGCUCACCCCCGGCGAGCCGUUGAAACUGGCUGUCUUGAGAUGUCGAGAGGUAUGCGGAAUGCGCAGUGUAGCGGUGAAAUGCUUAGAUAUUGCGCAGAACUCCGAUUGCGAAGGCAGCAUACCGGCGGCGAUCUGACGCUGAGGCACGAAAGCGUGGGUAUCGAACAGGAUUAGAUACCCCGGUAA